This 370-nucleotide ribosomal RNA is filed under the name uncultured eukaryote. Its description in RNAcentral is "partial 18S ribosomal RNA". It matches the Rfam family "Eukaryotic small subunit ribosomal RNA", at positions 592 to 976 of the family's 1831-position model. The record is from RNAcentral.
CAAUAGCGUAUAUUAAAGUUGUUGCAGUUAAAAAGCUCGUAGUUGGACCUUGGACCUGGACAGGCGGUCCGCCUCACGGCGAGGACUGUCUUGCUGGGUCUUUCCUCUUGGUGAUCUGUUGUUUCGGCAGCAGGGAACCAGGACCUUUACUUUGAAAAAAUUAGAGUGUUCAAAGCAGGCUCGACGCCGGAAUAUAUUAGCAUGGAAUAAUAAAAUAGGACGUGCGGUUCUAUUUUGUUGGUUUUUGGAAUCGCCGUAAUGAUUAAUAGGGACAGUCGGGGGCAUUAGUACUCACAUGCUAGAGGUGAAAUUCUUGGAUUUUGUGAAGACUAACUUCUGCGAAAGCAUUUGCCAAGGAUGUUUUCAUUAA